Molecule: long non-coding RNA, 1608 nt
Filed under: Homo sapiens (human)
Lineage: Eukaryota; Metazoa; Chordata; Mammalia; Primates; Hominidae
Description: long independently transcribed non-coding RNA 426 (LINC00426)
Source: RNAcentral
ACUCGGCCAUGAAAGUCUUUGAAGGUGGGGAAGGGGUGAAGAUGGUGAGGGGAUUCCACGGCUGGGAGAGGUACACUCCCUACACGUUCUAACCAACUGGCCGUGGGGAGGAAGCUGGAGGUCAGGACACAGCAAAUGGGGGAUCUCAGAAGUCUUAAUGAAGUAACUAUCCCUGAACACUGGGAUCAAUACUCAGCAUCCAGCUGUCAAAUCAACACCAAGCGUUUCACUCGUCGCCCAGCCUAGAGUGCAAUGGCGCUAUUUCGGCUCAUUAUAACCUCCGCCUCCCGGGUUCAAGCAAUUCUUCUGCUUCAGCGUCCCAAGUAGCUGGGAUUACAGCCGCCUCCUGGAGCAGAUUGUUAAGCUGAUGCGAGUCUGGGCUCUGCCUCACCACUUGUCUCAGAGGAAUCUCGGCCAAGAAGACAGGGACAAGCUCCCAACUCUGACUACCCCUUUUACAGGGAAAAAAAAAAAAUCCCGUGCCUUCUUUGCAGCAAGUGACAAAUCCUUGUCAUAUCGAGAUGGCUUUUCCUCCUCCUCUUCAAACAUCUUUUAGCAGCAACAGCAGCUCAAGUAACUGGAAUUAUUUCAGAGUUAAAAUGCAGGCUUUGUAGACCCUCUUAGACAGACAGAUUCAAUUUCAAAGGAAACUUCUUUGGCUGGGUACUCAGUGAGUGUUACACAGGGAUUUGGGGAGUUAAUAUUCACUGUUUCUGUUGUUGGAGAAAAGGAAAGCAGAGUUGCUCUUUCUCAUUACUCUCCCCAACGCACAUCUGUUUCCUCUCGUAUCUUGGAAUUAGGAAGAUGGAGGAGACUUAAGUGGUGACCCACCUAGCCUCCUGAUGCAUGCUGGGCUCACUUUAAAACUCCCAAAACAGAUGGCAGUUGAUCACGGUUUUAAAGAUCCCAGCAUAGACUUUCUGCAGCCUCCCUUGUUAGCCACUAUCAGCGCUUAACAUUCUGUCAUCUGAAUAACUCCUUAAAAAUGAUAGCAAUGGUAGUAGAAAUUUAAAAGGAACCUCCCAAAAAACAUGCAAAAGCUUACCACCCCAGUAAAUCACCCGCAACAAUGUCGCAACAGUUUAAAUUUACUGCAGAGAGAGCUGAAGUUUAGGAGACACAGCUUUAUAAUAUUUUUGAGAGAUAGUUGAGUGCAAAUGAGUCCUGUUCCUCUUGCAUCAGGGCCUGCUCCACUGAGUCAUCCUGCCUUCAGAAGCUUCCAGCUAAGUGGCAGGCCCCGGCCAUAGGCUCCCUGUGUCCCCAGCCUCCAGAGAACACACAAUGUUCUCAUCGCCCUUAGCUCCAUUCCAGAAGGGGCCUGCAGUUCUGCAGCUUAUCAGGGGUCUACUGGGAAGUGAGAUGUCACUGUCCCUUUCUGGCCCUGCAUUGUCUGUGAGUGGCUCUCCUGGAUUAAGAGUUGGCAAAGUAUGGCCAGUGGCCAGGACUGGCCUGCUGCCUGUUUUUGUUUAACCCGUGAGCUAAGAAUAGUUUUUACCUAUUUUAAGUAGUUGAAAAAAAAAUCAAGAGAAGAAUACUAUUUCGUGAUAUGUGAAAAAUCACAUGAAAUUCAAAUGUAAGUGUCCAUAAAUAAAGUCUUACUGGAAGACA